This 106-nucleotide ribosomal RNA is filed under the name uncultured bacterium. Its description in RNAcentral is "partial 16S ribosomal RNA". It matches the Rfam family "Bacterial small subunit ribosomal RNA", at positions 250 to 354 of the family's 1533-position model. The record is from RNAcentral.
UUGUGGGCGGAACGGCCCACCAAGGCGACGAUCAGUAGCCGGACUGAGAGGUUGGCCGGCCACAUUGGGACUGAGACACGGCCCAGACUCCUACGGGAGGCAGCAG